Molecule: ribosomal RNA, 288 nt
Filed under: uncultured prokaryote
Description: partial 16S ribosomal RNA
Rfam family: Bacterial small subunit ribosomal RNA
Source: RNAcentral
GUGUCAGCAGCCGCGGUAAUUAGAUACCCGCGUAGUCCGGAAUUAUUGGGCGUAAAGGGCUCGCAGGCGGUUCCUUAAGUCUGAUGUGAAAGCCCCCGGCUCAACCGGGGAGGGUCAUUGGAAACUGGGGAACUUGAGUGCAGAAGAGGAGAGUGGAAUUCCACGUGUAGCGGUGAAAUGCGUAGAGAUGUGGAGGAACACCAGUGGCGAAGGCGACUCUCUGGUCUGUAACUGACGCUGAGGAGCGAAAGCGUGGGGAGCGAACAGGAUUAGAAACCCCCGUAGUCC